This 450-nucleotide ribosomal RNA is filed under the name uncultured bacterium. RNAcentral's name for it is "partial 16S ribosomal RNA". It matches the Rfam family "Bacterial small subunit ribosomal RNA", at positions 354 to 796 of the family's 1533-position model. The record is from RNAcentral.
GUGGGGAAUAUUGGACAAUGGGCGAAAGCCUGAUCCAGCCAUGCCGCGUGUGUGAAGAAGGUCUUCGGAUUGUAAAGCACUUUAAGUUGGGAGGAAGGGCAGUAAGUUAAUACCUUGCUGUUUUGACGUUACCAACAGAAUAAGCACCGGCUAACUUCGUGCAAGCAGCCGCGGUAAUAGGAAGGGUGCAAGCGUUAAUCGGAAUUACUGGGCGUAAAGCGCGCGUAGGUGGUUCAGCAAGUUGGAGGUGAAAUCCCCGGGCUCAGCCUGGGAACUUCCGCCAAAACUACUGAGCUAGAGUAGGGUAGAGGGUAGUGGAAUUUCCUGUGUAGAGGUGAAAUGCGUAGAUAUAGGAAGGAACACCAGUGGCGAAGGCGACUACCUGGACUGAUACUGACACUGAGGUGCGAAAGCGUGGGGAGCAAACAGGAUUAGAAACCCUAGUAGUCC